Molecule: non-coding RNA, 164 nt
Filed under: Triticum aestivum (bread wheat)
Lineage: Eukaryota; Viridiplantae; Streptophyta; Magnoliopsida; Poales; Poaceae
Source: Rfam by way of RNAcentral
CCUUCCCAAGUUUGAUGUCAAAUCCCAGGGCCUCAACCCUGGACAUGCCAUGAAAACUACCAAGCUGGAGUACGGUAUGGGUAGAGGAAAUUUUAAGUGAAGCGGUGAAGUGCAUUGAGAUCGGAUAGAGCACCAAUGACGAAAGCACUCUGCUAGUCCUUUUG